This 73-nucleotide transfer RNA is filed under the name Kiritimatiellia bacterium. RNAcentral's name for it is "tRNA-Thr". It matches the Rfam family "tRNA". From Rfam's summary of the family: Transfer RNA (tRNA) molecules are approximately 80 nucleotides in length. Their secondary structure includes four short double-helical elements and three loops (D, anti-codon, and T loops). Further hydrogen bonds mediate the characteristic L-shaped molecular structure. tRNAs have two regions of fundamental functional importance: the anti-codon, which is responsible for specific mRNA codon recognition, and the 3' end, to which the tRNAs corresponding amino acid is attached (by aminoacyl-tRNA synthetases). tRNAs cope with the degeneracy of the genetic code in two manners: having more than one tRNA (with a specific anti-codon) for a particular amino acid; and 'wobble' base-pairing, i.e. permitting non-standard base-pairing at the 3rd anti-codon position. The record is from RNAcentral. Lineage: Bacteria; Pseudomonadati; Kiritimatiellota; Kiritimatiellia. RNAcentral also lists the same sequence under 1 other name.
GCCAGCUUAGCUCAGUUGGCAGAGCAGCUGAUUUGUAAUCAGCAGGUCCUCGGUUCGAGCCCGAGAGCUGGCU